RNAcentral lists this long non-coding RNA (242 nucleotides) under Phoenix dactylifera (date palm). RNAcentral's name for it is "long non-coding RNA (PDAC_LNC000659)". Lineage: Eukaryota; Viridiplantae; Streptophyta; Magnoliopsida; Arecales; Arecaceae. The record is from RNAcentral.
CCUUUUGUUCCAUGAACUGCCUACCUCCUCUCUUCUCCUCCUGGCUGCAAAUAACAUUGAAAUCCCCCCCACAAUUGCGAUAUGUAAGCAUAAUUUCUUCACGCUGCUUACUUCCUGCCAUAAUUCUCAGUUACUGUCAGUUAUUUUCAAAGUUCAGAGUUCAACAUGCAUGAUAAACUGGCUCACAACGUGAACAACAAGUGCAAUAUCUGGUCGACAAUAGUCAAAUAAAUCGGGGCAUC